AAUAAUUUAUUUGAAAGGAAGCCUAAAAGAAUAAACGGUAAAACCUUGUUUGAAAUGAUUCUUAUGAAAGAACUCAAUUAUAUUCUAUUAAAAGAAUUUAGUUCAAAUGCUAUCCACCAUCACCAAUAACAAUUACCUUUAACACUUGCCAUAUUACUAGUUCACAUAAUAUUUUUUUUCAAAAUGUCCUCUUAUUUCUCUCUCCUAUUUAUCACUAAAAGAUAAAUCAAAAUUCUUUUUUCUCUCUCUAUCACUUAUUUACAUGUUUAUCCAUCAUUAACUAUCUAAGAAAGAUAGAUGAUGUGGACCAAUAACAUGACAAUUGUUACAAGUGAUUGUUAUUUCAGAUGGUAGCUAGUAUUUCUUAUGAUAGAAUUCAUUUGUUUAGAACAACUGAUAAGUGAAAUGAAUGUAUUUAUUUUCAUAU
Molecule: unclassified non-coding RNA, 427 nt
Filed under: Hevea brasiliensis (rubber tree)
Lineage: Eukaryota; Viridiplantae; Streptophyta; Magnoliopsida; Malpighiales; Euphorbiaceae
Source: RNAcentral